Nicotiana attenuata is the source of this 310-nucleotide ribosomal RNA. It matches the Rfam family "Bacterial small subunit ribosomal RNA", at positions 562 to 870 of the family's 1533-position model. NCBI's taxonomy places the organism in Eukaryota, Viridiplantae, Streptophyta, Magnoliopsida, Solanales, Solanaceae. The record is from Rfam.
AAGAUGAUUGUAGGUGGCUUUUUAAGUCCCCGUCAAUUCGAGGGCUCAACCUUGGAUAGGCGGUGGAAAGUGGAAACUACCAAGCUGAAGUACAGUAGGGGCAGAGGAAAUUUCCGGUGGAGCAGUGAAAUGCGUAGAGAUAGGAAAGAACACCAACGGUGAAAGCACUCUGCCGGGCCGAUAUUGACACGGAGAGACGAAAGCUAGGCGAGCGAAUGAACUUACGAUCAAAUCCUAGUGGAGACAAAAAAACUAUUUUUUUCCUCAUCUGUUUAAGCGUUGGUGGAUAGGGUUACCUAAUAUAUGUGCU